UCUGCUCCCGGAGGUGUUGCAGGUGUGGCUGCUGUGUCACAUGUGCAUAGUAAGUGGCAGAGAGGAGAGAGGCUGUCUAAGUUCAGUGUUCUGACCUGUGAACAUCUGCAUGAUUAGUAGCCUAACAUU
Small nucleolar RNA from Acomys russatus (golden spiny mouse), 129 nucleotides. RefSeq annotates it as small nucleolar RNA SNORA17. Lineage: Eukaryota; Metazoa; Chordata; Mammalia; Rodentia; Muridae. The transcript has a single exon. The record is from RefSeq and is a predicted model, not a curated record.